UACGUAGGGGGCAAGCGUUGUCCGGAAUCAUUGGGCGUAAAGCGCGUGUAGGCGGCUCGAUAAGUCCGCUGUGAAAGUCCAGGGCUCAACCCUGGAAUGCCGGUGGAUACUGUCGGGCUCGAGUCCGGAAGAGGCGAGUGGAAUUCCUGGUGUAGCGGUGAAAUGCGCAGAUAUCAGGAAGAACACCCGUGGCGAAGGCGGCUCUCUGGGACGGUACUGACGCUGAGACGCGAAAGCGUGGGGAGCGAACAGG
Molecule: ribosomal RNA, 253 nt
Filed under: uncultured bacterium
Lineage: Bacteria
Description: partial 16S ribosomal RNA
Rfam family: Bacterial small subunit ribosomal RNA
Source: RNAcentral